Pseudoliparis swirei is the source of this 841-nucleotide long non-coding RNA. RefSeq lists it as uncharacterized. The transcript has 2 exons. The record is from RefSeq and is a predicted model, not a curated record. Lineage: Eukaryota; Metazoa; Chordata; Actinopteri; Perciformes; Liparidae.
CAUCGGCUACUUUAGAAAACAUGGCAGGAUGCAAGUUCAACAACGGCUUGAAAAGAACGAGUGUUUCUGGUCAUGGUGGGUGAAAUGCUUCUGAAUCUGCGUUAUGUGUCGCGAGACUUUCCAGCGGUGGAAUCUCACGUGCAGAGCAAGAAGCACAGAGACUAGCGAAGGCCGCCCGCGGGGCUAGCUCCUGCUCCGCCGCUAGCUGCUGCUCUGCCGCAAGCUCCUGCUCCGCCGCCCGCAACGACGUCAACUACAACGCUGGAGGUCACCGGAGGAAAUCCAGCGCCUUGCAACAAAGAACUCAUCACCGAAGACCAACGCAGCAGUGCGUUCUUCAUUCUGUUCCACGAGACUCUGGACCAGACCACCGCGAGCAGACAGCUGGACUUCAUGUGCGCUAUUGGUGACAUGACCAGGUCCAGUCAGGAUCCUGUGGAGCUCAUGGGCCAUGACACGCCCAGGACCUACUUCAGCACCUCAAAGAGAAUGGACCAAAUGUCAACUGGAAGUUUUUAUAUUAAUACAGUUUGAAAAGGAUUGUUUUCCUAGUAUAUUCACAAAAGCUCAGGAGUAGACAUGAACCUGUGCACAAACAUCCAUCACAUAGAGACAUGAGAACUCACACUCACUCACCCACACACACAUACAUUCUAUUAUGUAAAUGAAUUUGCAUUUUAAAAGCAGCUGGAAAUGUUAUUUGUUAUUUUAUGGAUUUUUUUGUUCAAAAGGAACUAUGUUGCAUGUAUUUUUUAAAUAUAUUUACUUAAUUUUAGAGACAUUUGUUCAUGGGACUUAAAUGUUCUGAAAAUGUAUUAAUAAAUAUAAUUUACAACAGCAA